Molecule: ribosomal RNA, 497 nt
Filed under: uncultured bacterium
Lineage: Bacteria
Description: partial 16S ribosomal RNA
Rfam family: Bacterial small subunit ribosomal RNA
Source: RNAcentral
GAUGAACGCUGGCGGCGUGCCUAAUACAUGCAAGUCGAGCGAACGGACGAGAAGCUUGCUUCUCUGAUGUUAGCGGCGGACGGGUGAGUAACACGUGGAUAACCUACCUAUAAGACUGGGAUAACUUCGGGAAACCGUAGCUAAUACCGGAUAAUAUUUUGAACCGCAUGGUUCAAAAGUGAAAGACGGUCUUGCUGUCACUUAUAAAUGGAUCCGCGCUGCAUUAGCUAGUUGGUAAGGUAACGGCUUACCAAGGCAACGAUGCAUAGCCGACCUGAGAGGGUGAUCGGCCACACUGGAACUGAGACACGGUCCAGACUCCUACGGGAGGCAGCAGUAGGGAAUCUUCCGCAAUGGGCGAAAGCCUGACGGGGCAACGCCGCGUGAGUGAUGAAGGUCUUCGGAUCGUAAAACUCUGUUAUUAGGGAAGAACAUAUGUGUAAGUAACUGUGCACAUCUUGACGGUACCUAAUCAGAAAGCCACGGCUAACUACGUG